Molecule: long non-coding RNA, 623 nt
Organism: Felis catus (domestic cat)
Lineage: Eukaryota; Metazoa; Chordata; Mammalia; Carnivora; Felidae
Exons: 2
Source: RefSeq, a predicted model, not a curated record
CGGAGCCAGGCAUAAAUCAGGGAGCUGAUUUUAUCCAAUAGGAAACUUUAUUAUAGGAAAUUAAAAAAAUAAAAAAGGAGAGAGAGAGGAGGAGAGAAAGAGACAGGGGGAAGUUUUAUAUAUAUAUUUAUAUUUAAAGUGGAGACUACACAAUCUCUGAGGAAUUACUGCAGAGCUCCAGGGGGGGCCGAAGGAACAAGGGCUCCUUAGGAUGGCACGCCUAAGCUCCAGUUCUCUUUGAUGGUGGGGUUCUUGCUUCCUCUCCCUUCCUUUCCGGGUAGGGAAAUAAGAGCUGAUUUGAUUUGCCUGCUGCUAUUUGGUUUGUUGCUUUCAACCCCAAAGCAUUUUCCCAAAAGAAGACAGGAAGGGAAGGAGAGAAAAAUCCUAGAAACAGGACCGCUAUGUAUUGAUUGGAUGGUAGGGAAUAUCUGAGUAUUCCUGGUCCUCCAUAGCAAGUUCAAAAGCCAAAGAUGACUGCCAAAGGAAAACAACCAGCACAAGAAAUGUUCGUUGAUUAAUUCCUAGAUCAGAGCCACAUUUUAGAAUAUUCUAUGAUUUUCUAGCGAUGGAUUGGUCUUGUUUCCUUCACAUCAUCACUAAAAACUUGCAAGUAUUUUGCCUUC